Myzus persicae (green peach aphid) is the source of this 1639-nucleotide long non-coding RNA. RefSeq lists it as uncharacterized. Lineage: Eukaryota; Metazoa; Arthropoda; Insecta; Hemiptera; Aphididae. The record is from RefSeq and is a predicted model, not a curated record. The transcript is spliced from 2 exons.
AAUGAGCGUGUUAAACCCCACCGAUCGAACAUGAGGUAUUACAGCAUGAACUUUACGUUUAGAUCCCGUAAAUCGUAUCGAUAAGGAUACAGCAUAAUAAUAAAUCGAGCGAUUUGUGUGUUAGUGGUUUUUUUUCGUGCAUAAAACGACUUUGGCGAAGGACUGCGACAAAAAAUUCGGAAUUCGGAAAUACCAUAAUAUAUUGCGAUGUUUAGUCGUAUAUGUACAACACACGACUUUCGUGUGUGUUACCUAUAGGUACUACCACAUUAUUGAUAUUAAAAUAGCCAGACAAUUGUAUACAACGCCGUGAGAAUAGGACGAAUAUAUCCAUCAAAACGGCAAUAAUAGAUCAUAUUUUCAAAAACUUAAAUUUUAUACCAUUUAAGAAGAGUCCUUGAUAUUGUGUACCAGCUCGUUGUCAUCCUCGAUGAAGAAAGUAGGACGUGUUUAAAAGAAUUAUACUCAAAGAUGAUAUUUAAAUGGUUUAAAGAUACGUUUAUUAAAUACGUAAACUACAAAUUAGGUGCUAUAACUUAUUAAUUACUGCUAAUCAAAAACUUAUUACAUGCAUUUUUUGUAUAAUGAAGAUAGGUUCUGCCCGAUUGCGUCUUUCUUAGCGACUAACCUACCGGCCAUGUCAAAGAGGUCUUUCUGUUCAAACUGCCAAAGUGGGAAUUGCUGGAUCAGCAUAUUCCCGCCUGAGAGUCCGGUCCCGUAGUCACGUACGCCAGUUUAUGUAUCAUGUUAGAACAAUGUGCCAUAAUAUAACUGUAUACAACGCUUACACUAAACAGUCUCAGAUGAUAAGGAUUUGCUUUUUCCAAAAGAGAUCACCCUUUUUCCUGUAAAUCGUUAACCAGAUGACUUUUUGGAGAUGUAUCUAACUUGAAAUCCAAACAAGUAAUGUUUGAGUUAUUAAACUGUGUGUACUAAGGAUAACAGCCCCAUGAUAACCUGUAUAUUGGAGGCUACAAUGAUCCGAAAAUUGAAGUAAUUACUAAUUAUACUUAUAUUCAUAUUAUUAUAUAUUACAGUUAUUUAAUUUGUAAAAUUGUAUAAGUCUAAUAAGUAAUAAUACAAAUCUUAGUAAUAUAUGCUAUCAUUCAAUGUCAUGCCAUUUAUUAUGUAUUUGGUACCAAACUUCCUCUUAUUUAAUACCAAUUUUAUGUUAAUUAAUAUAAAAUACAAUAAAUUUAAAAAUUUAAUUCAAGUUGGCAUUUGAAAAGACGUUAAAAUUAUACACUAUGACGGGUGUGAUAAUAAUUAUUAAUCUUGGUAGGUAGCCUAAAAACUUAUAUUUAAUGUAACUUGAUUCAUUAUAAUCUGUAUAAAAAUAAACUUUAUACAUAUCUUGACUUGUGGUCUUAAAGUAUUUAGGAAUUCAUAAUAUCAAUAAAUUAUUGUUUCAUUUUUACUUUUUUUAUUUAGUAUUAUUUUCAUUUUUUUAUUUUUCACAGUCAAAAUAAACUUAUUUAUAUGUAUUAUUUAAUAGAUUGUUAUUCGUAUAUAAUAUAUACUAUUACACAGUAUAACAGUCGCGUAUUAUUUAUCUAUGGAUAAGUCCAACACUGGAUGUAUUGAUUAUGUACCUAAGUCAAAUUCUAGAAUAAAGUAAAUAUUAUAUUAGGUAUCAAAG